Molecule: ribosomal RNA, 632 nt
Filed under: uncultured bacterium
Lineage: Bacteria
Description: bacterial SSU rRNA
Rfam family: Bacterial small subunit ribosomal RNA
Source: RNAcentral
CGCGGCCUAUCAGCUUGUUGGUGGGGUGAUGGCCUACCAAGGCGGUGACGGGUAGCCGGCCUGAGAGGGCGACCGGCCACACUGGGACUGAGACACGGCCCAGACUCCUACGGGAGGCAGCAGUGGGGAAUAUUGCGCAAUGGGCGGAAGCCUGACGCAGCGACGCCGCGUGGGGGAUGACGGCCUUCGGGUUGUAAACCUCUUUCGCCAGGGACGAAGCUUUUGUGACGGUACCUGGAGAAGAAGCACCGGCCAACUACGUGCCAGCAGCCGCGGUAACACGUAGGGUGCGAGCGUUGUCCGGAAUUAUUGGGCGUAAAGAGCUCGUAGGCGGUGUGUCGCGUCGGCCGUGAAAACCUGGGGCUUAACUCUGGGCGUGCGGUCGAUACGGGCAUCACUAGAGUUCGGCAGGGGAGACUGGAAUUCCUGGUGUAGCGGUGAAAUGCGCAGAUAUCAGGAGGAACACCGGUGGCGAAGGCGGGUCUCUGGGCCGAUACUGACGCUGAGGAGCGAAAGCAUGGGGAGCGAACAGGAUUAGAUACCCUGGUAGUCCAUGCCGUAAACGUUGGGCGCUAGGUGUGGGGACCAUUCCACGGUUUCUGUGCCGCAGCUAACGCAUUAAGCGCCCCGCC